This 475-nucleotide ribosomal RNA is filed under the name unidentified nematode Sourhope farm. RNAcentral describes it as "SSU rRNA". It matches the Rfam family "Eukaryotic small subunit ribosomal RNA", at positions 58 to 529 of the family's 1831-position model. Lineage: Eukaryota; Metazoa; Nematoda. The record is from RNAcentral.
UCUAAGUAUCACCUGCCAGACAGGGAAACUGCGUACGGCUCAUUACACCAGCCUUAAUUUACUUGACCUUGACAACCUACUUGGAUAACUGUGGUAAUUCUAGAGCUAAUACAUGCACCAAAGCUCCGAUCCUCGCGGAGAGGAGCGCAUUUGUUCGCCACAAAACCAAGCCCCCAUCUGGGCGUCCAGUGCUGAACCAGAACAACUCAGCUGAUCGCACGGUCUUGUACCGGCGACGUGUCUUUCAAGUGUCUGCCUUAUCAACUUUCGAUGGUAGUGUACCUGACUACCAUGGUUGUGACGGGUAACGGAGGAUAAGGGUUCGACUCCGGAGAAGGGGCCUGAGAAAUGGCCACUACGUCUAAGGAUGGCAGCAGGCGCGCAAAUUACCCACUCUCAACGCGAGGAGGUAGUGACGAGAAAUAACGAGACCGUUCUCAUACGAGGCCGGUUAUUGGAAUGGGUACAAUUUAAA